RNAcentral lists this ribosomal RNA (494 nucleotides) under uncultured bacterium. RNAcentral describes it as "partial 16S ribosomal RNA". It matches the Rfam family "Bacterial small subunit ribosomal RNA", at positions 28 to 507 of the family's 1533-position model. The record is from RNAcentral.
GACGAACGCUGGCGGCGUGCUUAACACAUGCAAGUCGAACGGUGAAGCGCCUUCCUUUUUGGUGGGUGUGGAUGAGUGGCGAACGGGUGAGUAACACGUGAGUAACCUGCCCCCUUCUUCUGGAUAACCGCAUGAAAGUGUGGCUAAUACGGGAUAUUCUGGGUCUGUCGCAUGAAGGGUCUGGGAAAGAUAUUGUUUCGGUGGGGGAUGGGCUCGCGGCCUAUCAGCUUGUUGGUGGGGUGAUGGCCUACCAAGGCGGUGACGGGUAGCCGGCCUGAGAGGGUGGACGGUCACACUGGGACUGAGACACGGCCCAGACUCCUACGGGAGGCAGCAGUGGGGAAUAUUGCACAAUGGGCGCAAGCCUGAUGCAGCGACGCCGCGUGAGGGAUGGAGGCCUUCGGGUUGUGAACCUCUUUCGCCAGUGAAGCAGGCCUGCCUCGUUUGUGGGUGGGUUGACGGUAGCUGGAUAAGAAGCGCCGGCUAACUACGUG